UGGGGAAUAUUGGACAAUGGGGGAACCCUGAUCCAGCCAUGCCGCGUGUGUGAAGAAGGCCUUAUGGUUGUAAAGCACUUUAAGCGAGGAGGAGGGUACUGGUAUUAAUACUACCAGGUACUGGACGUUACUCGCAGAAUAAGCACCGGCUAACUCUGUGCCAGCAGCCGCGGUAAUACAGAGGGUGCGAGCGUUAAUCGGAUUUACUGGGCGUAAAGCGUGCGUAGGCGGCUAAUUGAGUCGGAUGUGAAAUCCCCGAGCUUAACUUGGGAAUUGCAUUCGAUACUGGUUAGCUAGAGUGUGGGAGAGGAUGGUAGAAUUCCAGGUGUAGCGGUGAAAUGCGUAGAGAUCUGGAGGAAUACCGAUGGCGAAGGCAGCCAUCUGGCCUAACACUGACGCUGAGGUACGAAAGCGUGGGGAGCAAACAGG
This 429-nucleotide ribosomal RNA is filed under the name Pseudomonadota bacterium. Its description in RNAcentral is "Proteobacteria bacterium partial 16S ribosomal RNA". It matches the Rfam family "Bacterial small subunit ribosomal RNA", at positions 355 to 776 of the family's 1533-position model. Lineage: Bacteria; Pseudomonadati; Pseudomonadota. The record is from RNAcentral.